Molecule: ribosomal RNA, 252 nt
Filed under: uncultured prokaryote
Description: partial 16S rRNA
Rfam family: Archaeal small subunit ribosomal RNA
Source: RNAcentral
ACCGGCAGCUCAAGUGGUGGCCAUUUUUAUUGGGCCUAAAGCGUUCGUAGCCGGUUUGAUAAGUCUCUGGUGAAAUCCCGCAGCUUAACUGUGGGACUUGCUGGAGAUACUAUUAGACUUGAGGUCGGGAGAGGUUAGGGGUACUCCCAGAGUAGGGGUGAAAGCCUAUAAUCCUGGGAGGACCACCUGUGGCGAAGGCGCCUAACCGGAACGAACCUCCCGGUGAGUAACGAAAGCCAGGGGCGCGCGUCG